Molecule: unclassified non-coding RNA, 204 nt
Filed under: uncultured Psathyrella
Lineage: Eukaryota; Fungi; Basidiomycota; Agaricomycetes; Agaricales; Psathyrellaceae
Description: sequence contains ITS2
Source: RNAcentral
AAUUCUCAACCUCACCGGUUUUCUGAACCGUUCUUCGAGGCUUGGAUGUGGGGGUUUGUGCAGGUCGCCUCAGCGCGGUCUGCUCCCCUGAAAUGCAUUAGCGAGAUUCAUUCUGGACCUCCGUCUAUCGGUGUGAUAAUUAUCUACGUCGUUGACUUGGUUCGGACUCGCUUCUAACCGUCCGCGAGGACAACAUACUUGACA